Molecule: non-coding RNA, 594 nt
Organism: Cinara cedri
Lineage: Eukaryota; Metazoa; Arthropoda; Insecta; Hemiptera; Aphididae
Source: the annotation of a GenBank genome assembly
ACUUGCAGACUGGAUAACUUCGACAAAAAAACUACAGUAGGUUAUAAUCUACUAUGAAUAAAACCAUAGUAUGAAUGUUGGUUUUUUAAAUAGUACUUGCUUGUAUAGAAAAAAGGUUGGGAAUCUAGAAAUAUUUUUCAAGUUUUAGGUUAGAUUUACCUACCUACCACCACCAAAAAGUAAGCCGGUUUUUAAGGUACAUAUCCAGUGGUGUAGUUGAUAAUGUUUUAUAGGGUGUGGAAGGAAAUCAAAAUAAAUCACUCCUCUCACCUAUGUUUAACAACUUAUCAGUCAGCACAUAUAAAUAAAGUUUUUUUAUAUUACAUAGUUAUCAAAUAUAUUUCAUUCCAAUUAUUUAGGAACAUAAAAUACUGAAAUACUCCCCGGAUUUAAAGGUUUAACUAAAGUCGGAAAAUUUGUAAGAACUCUUUGGCAUUUCUGUUUGGUUCACCGAAUGAAAAUUACAUUAAAACUAUAAAAAUAACUAAAUAGCUCAAAAAUGGCACAAAUGUUUUUAAAAUGUUACCUUGACUAUAAAAAACAAAUACCUAUAUCAUGUUUUCUGUCAAAAGUUUCUACAAAUAUUUUCCCAGU